Molecule: ribosomal RNA, 253 nt
Filed under: uncultured bacterium
Lineage: Bacteria
Description: partial 16S ribosomal RNA
Rfam family: Bacterial small subunit ribosomal RNA
Source: RNAcentral
UACGGAGGGGGCUAGCGUUGUUCGGAAUUACUGGGCGUAAAGCGCGCGUAGGCGGCUUUGUAAGUUAGAGGUGAAAGCCCGGGGCUCAACUCCGGAAUUGCCUUUGAGACUGCAUCGCUAGAAUUGUGGAGAGGUAAGUGGAAUUCCGAGUGUAGAGGUGAAAUUCGUAGAUAUUCGGAAGAACACCAGUGGCGAAGGCGACUUACUGGACACAUAUUGACGCUGAGAUGCGAAAGCGUGGGGAGCAAACAGG